UGAAGAUCAUUGUAAUAAAAAAAACCAUUGUGAAAUUCUGAAUUCUAUUUAAUUUAAAAUAAAAAUGAAGAUGAAUAUUUGUAGACGAUUGUUUUCAACGUUGAAUAAAUUGUCUGCGCUCCCGAAAAUCCAAAUAAUAAAUCAUAGACCGGUGCUAAGCAUAAGCCCGAAUCAAAAAGCUGCCUUUUGCAGUCGUGAAUCCAAUGAUGGUUCAUCAUUGCCUCCAUCGUUGGAUUCACGACUGCAAAAGGUAGUAUCUAUUAACUAUUGUGCCAGUAACAGUAAUUCGGUUGUUAACCAUGAAUAUUAUUUAUGCGAUCUUAGAAACCAAAAUUGGGUCUACGAAGACGAAAUCUCCAGCCAUAUCCACAUAUCGAUUGUGUCAGAGUUCUAAAAGAUGAAAAUUAUUUACUCUCAUCACACAAACUCGUUAAGUAUGGUGAACACGAUUUUUUACAGCGAUUUGAUGGAUAUGUGUGUGUGUUUAUAAGUGGAUAUCAUCAUCCACGUAAACUUGAUGCCAAGUCAGGGUAUUCCGUCUAUUUUGGUCCGGAUCAUUCAUUGAUUUUGCAAGGAAGUGUUGAGCGCCGACAAUCACCGAACCAUGCAAAACUAUAUGCCGUCUUGAAAGCAAUGCAACAAAUUCCUAAAGAUUCCUUUAAAAAAUUGUGCAAGCAAAUUAAAUAAAGGCAACAGCGGCAAAUUAAAUAAGGACGUACAAAAAUCCAUGGAAUUAAAUGAAAUUCUUAAAUCGAUGAGAUCUUUGAGCGAAACCCGAAUACAAAUAUAUUUUGCUCAAAAUACAAACGGAGAAAAUCUUAGCGUAAAAACCAAAUAUCUUUGAAAUCGGAAUAAAAGUAAAAUAACUCGACUUAUUUUAU
Contarinia nasturtii (swede midge) is the source of this 881-nucleotide RNA transcript. RefSeq lists it as uncharacterized. The transcript has 3 exons. The record is from RefSeq and is a predicted model, not a curated record. NCBI's taxonomy places the organism in Eukaryota, Metazoa, Arthropoda, Insecta, Diptera, Cecidomyiidae.